RNAcentral lists this ribosomal RNA (511 nucleotides) under Streptomyces anulatus. RNAcentral describes it as "partial 23S ribosomal RNA". It matches the Rfam family "Bacterial large subunit ribosomal RNA", at positions 2421 to 2925 of the family's 2925-position model. The record is from RNAcentral. Lineage: Bacteria; Bacillati; Actinomycetota; Actinomycetes; Kitasatosporales; Streptomycetaceae.
CGGCAGUGGCUUGUGGAAGCGCUGUCGCUCAACGGAUAAAAGGUACCCCGGGGAUAACAGGCUGAUCUUCCCCAAGAGUCCAUAUCGACGGGAUGGUUUGGCACCUCGAUGUCGGCUCGUCGCAUCCUGGGGCUGGAGUCGGUCCCAAGGGUUGGGCUGUUCGCCCAUUAAAGCGGUACGCGAGCUGGGUUUAGAACGUCGUGAGACAGUUCGGUCCCUAUCCGCUGUGCGCGUAGGAAUAUUGAGAAGGGCUGUCCCUAGUACGAGAGGACCGGGACGGACGAACCUCUGGUGUGCCAGUUGUCCUGCCAAGGGCAUGGCUGGUUGGCUACGUUCGGAAAGGAUAACCGCUGAAAGCAUCUAAGCGGGAAGCCUGCUUCGAGAUGAGUAUUCCCACCCUCUUGAAGGGUUAAGGCUCCCAGUAGACGACUGGGUUGAUAGGCCAGAUGUGGAAGCCCUGUAAGGGGUGGAGCUGACUGGUACUAAUAGGCCGAGGGCUUGUCCUCAGUUG